AACGCGAAGAACCUUACCUGGGCUCGAACGGCUUUGGAAAAGCUGUGGAAACAUGGUUUUCCCGCAAGGGACCGGAGUCGAGGUGCUGCAUGGCUGUCGUCAGCUCGUGUCGUGAGAUGUUGGGUUAAGUCCCGCAACGAGCGCAACCCUUGUCCUGUGUUGCCACUCCCGUAAGGGAAGCACUCUCAGGAGACCGCCAGCGAUAAGUUGGAGGAAGGUGGGGAUGAUGUCAAGUCAUCAUGGCCUUUAUGUCCAGGGCUACACACGUGCUACAAUGGGCGGUACAAAGCGCUGCAAACCCGCGAGGGGGAGCUAAUCGCAAAAAACCGUUCUCAGUUCGGAUCGCAGGCUGCAACUCGCCUGCGUGAAGCUGGAAUCGCUAGUAAUGGCGUAUCAGAAUGAUGCCGUGAAUACGUUCCCGGGCCUUGUACACACCGGUACUA
RNAcentral lists this ribosomal RNA (443 nucleotides) under uncultured bacterium. Its description in RNAcentral is "bacterial SSU rRNA". It matches the Rfam family "Bacterial small subunit ribosomal RNA", at positions 958 to 1398 of the family's 1533-position model. The record is from RNAcentral.